GACGUAGGAUCCGAGCGUUAUCCGAAUUCACUGGGCGUAAAGCGCGUGCAGGCGGCUCUGUAAGUUGGAUGUAAAAUCUCCCGGCUCAACUGGGAGGGGACGUUCAAUACUGCGGGGCUUGAGGACGGUAGAGGGAGGUGGAAUUCCCGGUGUAGUGGUGAAAUGCGUAGAUAUCGGGAGGAACACCAGUGGCGAAGGCGGCCUCCUGGACCGUACCUGACGCUCAGACGCGAAAGCUAGGGGAGCGAACGGG
This 253-nucleotide ribosomal RNA is filed under the name uncultured Bellilinea sp. RNAcentral describes it as "partial 16S ribosomal RNA". It matches the Rfam family "Bacterial small subunit ribosomal RNA", at positions 524 to 776 of the family's 1533-position model. Lineage: Bacteria; Bacillati; Chloroflexota; Anaerolineae; Anaerolineales; Anaerolineaceae. The record is from RNAcentral.